RNAcentral lists this non-coding RNA (27 nucleotides) under Homo sapiens (human). Lineage: Eukaryota; Metazoa; Chordata; Mammalia; Primates; Hominidae. The record is from RNAcentral.
UGCAGAGGCGGCCAACUGUAAAGGGGA